ACCAGGAAAGACCGGGAGAGGAAACAACGCAAAAGGUCCUGCUUGGGUGCUACUGAAAAGGGGGAUCUAAAGGCUUCUCCAGCUGCUUCCUUUUACGCACCGCGUUCUGACUUGAGGCAAUUUAAACGUUCAUCAAAAUGAACUUCACGGAGUCGAUGGAAAACCACCCCCCUUUGUGUUCACGAUUUUAUUCACCCACCCUGCUGCUGGCUUUCACCUAGAAAGCUUGGGAUAAAACAAAUUCCAAAGCCUGAUCGAAAAUAUGAGUGCAUAAUUUAUGAGCACUUCAUGCUUAAUCUUUAAGGAAUGUCUAUAAUAACACAAUGGACUUGGAUGACAAGUUCCUUAAGGGCAGAAUAUAUUCCAGGCUUGUUUUGUCUUUCCUUGAAAGCUUAUGAAGGCUUCUGCUUUGUCAGUUUACUUUCUUUUCUAUGGUUUUAAAAAUGAGACUUAACUCUGGGCACUAAAGAUUCUUGGUGGAUAGUAUUCUUGCUCAUAUUUAUAAAAUAUGACAGUACUCAUCCAAAAACGGAUACCAGGAAAAUGACCAAUACUCUAUUACAAGGGGGGGGGGGAUUAAAAAAAUUGGGGGGUAUGUUAUGUAAAUUACUUAAGAUGCUGUGUAAAUUCAGAGGAACUUUAUCAAUUGCUAAUGCACGUACAAGUAAUGGCUGGGAUCUGUGACAUAAAGCACAGUAGGGAAAAUGGAUUUGGGUAUUAGAAAAUACUAAAUGUUAAAAUCAGUCCAGUAUUUACUAGCAUGGCAAUUUACCACUCUUCUUUCAAACUCUCCCCUGGAAAGGUUAAAAUGUUCAACCUCAUAGCAGUGUUGGAGGAAACCAGUUAGAUAAACUAGAGCAUGAAACAGAGUGUUGCUACUCACUAACUGAUAGUUAUUGUAAGUAAAAGUAUGCUCACUGACUCGCAAAACCACUGAUUGCACAGCUGGGAGGGCCCAUCUGUUUGUUAACUCAGGACCUGCUUGUUAACUCAAGUAGAGGCAUCAUUACUAGAGAUUGAGCAGCUCAGUAACUUGCCAAGUGCACACAGCAAAGGCCGGGUUGCCACAUGAUGAUCGCAUCUUAAAAUCCAGGCCCUGUUUGGAGGCCCUGCGUCUUCCCCAAAGGUAAAAAAGUAAAUCUGGCAAGACAGAGUCUGGGCAACAACACUCAAUAAAGGAAUGCCAGAUACCAUAGAGGAAAGACACUCUAGAAAGUGAAGAAGGUAACUGUUGGCCUUUUAUUCCAUUAUGAAUAAUUUUUGCUCUUGAGAUGAGUGAUGAGUGAUUACUUCCUUGUCCUCUUACUGCUGUUACACGCUGCCCUCCUUUGCCAGCAUUUUGAAAGUUUUUUUUUUUUCCUCUGCCCUAAUACUUGCCUAUCAAGACAAUGACUUCAGUGUUCAAAUCCUGGAUCUACUGUUUCUUUCUUCCUUUACCUCCUUCAUUCUGGUUUUAGUAAAGCUGUGUUCAGAGGCACAUCUUGAACUUAUUUCUUACAACUGCAACACCUCAUCUCUGAAAUCUUAGACAUUCAUGUUUCAGUCUCUGCCCACCAUAGUUUCCAUCUCUCCAGCCUUCCUUUUUCUACCUUUCUUCCUUCUCAUGAUGGUCUCACCCCUUUCUCCCGAUCUCUUCUUGCCUCUGUGGCCUGCCUGAUGUUCCUUUCCAUCCAUGUCUUCAGUCUACUUCUCUUCCCACAAAAACCCCAGACUAAAAUUAUAGAAACAAAAUGGCAUUGUAUUUAGGUUUAAAAAAAUUACUUUUAUUUUAUGUGCAGUGGUGUUUUGCCUGCAUGUGUCUGUGUGAGGGCGUCAGAUCUUGGAUUUAUAGACAGUUGUGAGCUGCCAUGUGGGUGCUUUGGAAGAGCAGUCAAUGUUCUUAACCACUGGGCUAUCUCUCCAGCUCUUGAGAUUAUUGUGUCUUUAAAUUUAGCAUUCUCAACUUUAUCAACACAGUCAGAAUUGCUCAGGAAUCACCUCAGGACUCUAACAUCAACCCUGUCUUGUAUUUCCUAGUGAUAGAGAUGCUCUGUACUCACUCUCAGAACUCACCAUCCAACCUCAGCCCGAUCUCUCAACAUUUGGUCAAGCUCUCUUACCUGUUUUCCUGUGCUCGGGAGCACACCCAUCACUAAACGAAGCUCUCUACUUGGCCUGGUCUGAUCCUCCCCAGGACACUGCUUCUCAGAAAGAACUUUCUUGGAGCUGGAGAGAUGACUUAGCUUCAGAGCACUGGCUGUUCUUGCAGAGGACCUGGUUUUGCUUCCCACUGCUCAUAUGAUCAGUGUCUAGCCCAGCAAUCAUCAGAGAAGAAUCCUCCUGACAUGGAAGCAAAUACAGAGAGCCACAACUGGACAAUGUGAAGAAAGUGGGAGACCCUGAAACAUUCAGUCCUAAACAGUGUGUCUCCAUUGAAUUCCUCCCCUCAGGGCUCAGAGAACUCUGCAGAAGAGAAGCCAGAAGAUUUUAAGAGUCAGUGGGGAUGGAAGAGAACAAGGAAACAAGGCCAUCUAGACACAACUCACAGAGACUGAGACAGCACACACAGGGUCUGCACAGGUCUAAGCCGCAUGGGGGUCCCAGGGUGGAGAGGGGUAGUGGGCACAAGCACCCAUCCCUAACCUAUCAAUUUCCAAUUGAUAACUAUUCUCAAAGAGAAAAAUUAAGUUUUCUCCAGUGGGGUCUCACUGGCUAUAAAAACUACACUAAAGCGUAGCAUAAAACUAACUUAUUUUUGAAGGUAUCUUUAAUGUUUCACAAUGCCCUGUCUGGGUAUUUUUUUAAGUUCUUUUUUCCCUUUCCUCUUUUAAUCUUACAGAUCUUUUGUUUAUAUACAAUGGUUUCCUACUUUGUUUUUAUGGGUUUUCUGUGUGUCUUUGAACUGUAUUUGUUCCUUGUACCUUUUCUUCGGUCUUUUUUUUUCUUUCUGUUUUUUCCUAUUCUGGUUUAAUAUUAUAUUAAGUUUAUUAGAUAUUAUUUUUUCUUGUUUUAUUUAAUUAUUUUUAUUUUCAUUAAUUACAGUUUAUUCACUUUGUAUCCCCCCUGUAACUCCUUCCCUCCCCCCUCCCAAUCCCAUCCUUCCUCCCUUUAUCUCACCCGUGUCCCUCUCCCAGUCCACUGAUAAGGGAGGUCUUCCUCCCCUUCCUUCUGAUCCUAGUCUAUCAGGUCUCAUCAGGAGUAGUUGCACUGUCUUCUGUGGCCUGGUAAGGUUGCUCCCCCUCAGGGGGAGGUGAUCAAAGAGCAGGCCAAUCAGUUCAUGUCAGAGACAGUCCCUGUCCCCAUUACUAUGGAGGCCACUUGGCCACUGAAAUGCCAUAGGCUACCUCCGUGCUCAUAUCAAAAUUAUUUUAGAUGCUUGUUUGUAUUCUAGUGGGAGAGAAUGAAAGGAUGUGGAUUUGGUUGGGUGGGGAAGUGAAAGAUCAGGGAAGGGAAAUAGUGAUCAGAAUAUAUUGUAUAAAAAAAUCUAUUUUCAAUAAAAAGAGAAAAUCCAGUACUAUGUACAAUGACUAUACCUCCUUGAAAAUAUGUGAGUAUAUUACAUGACAUUUAAAGGACUCCCGACUGUACCUGUAUAGUAGAGUAAU
Long non-coding RNA from Meriones unguiculatus (Mongolian gerbil), 3584 nucleotides. RefSeq lists it as uncharacterized. The transcript has 3 exons. The record is from RefSeq and is a predicted model, not a curated record. NCBI's taxonomy places the organism in Eukaryota, Metazoa, Chordata, Mammalia, Rodentia, Muridae.